Molecule: non-coding RNA, 289 nt
Organism: Pelobates cultripes (western spadefoot toad)
Lineage: Eukaryota; Metazoa; Chordata; Amphibia; Anura; Pelobatidae
Source: the annotation of a GenBank genome assembly
CUUUAUUUCUUCAUUUAAACUGUAUACUGGCAUGAAAUGCCACUAAGAGACAAAACAAAUGUAAUCUACCUGGUACCUUCCCUCCUGUUGUGUUCCAGUCGGGUAUCCUUUAAAUUAAGAAAUUAAGUAUAGUGAUGUCCCGAACGGUUCGCCGCGGACGGCGAACAUAUGCGGUAAACUUUGACCCUGUACCUCACAGUCAGCAGACACAUUCCAGCCAAUCAGCAGCAGACCCUCCCUCCCAGACCCUCCCACCUCCUGGACAGCUCACUAAGAAUGCAGCUUCACA